Molecule: long non-coding RNA, 573 nt
Organism: Arachis duranensis
Lineage: Eukaryota; Viridiplantae; Streptophyta; Magnoliopsida; Fabales; Fabaceae
Exons: 2
Source: RefSeq, a predicted model, not a curated record
ACAUAUAUAUAAGAAAAAGUCUCUCUUCUUUCUAAGCUAAGCAUAGGAGGAGGAGAGAAAGUAAUGGCAAAGGGAAUCAGAAACCUAAGUUGUUGGAUGGAGGUUGCUCCGGCACCGGUGAUCUUCCCAACCAAGCCAUCCAAUUCGCCCAGAUUGGAGACAAUUGCUGAAGAAGAAGCUGCUGAGGGUUAUGACCGUCAUCAAAACAAGCACGCACUUCUGUCCAAGGUAGUACAUAUCAUAAAGUGGCAUGGCAAAUGAAAUCAAGUACUUGUUCUUGGCGUCGUGUGUUGUGGAGUUUGCGCCCUCUCCAGUGAUUCCUCUGAGGAAAGUUUCACUUUUUCCUCGAUUGGAAACUAUUGCAGAAGAAGAUGCUGAAGAAUUGGAUGAUGAUAUUGAUGAAGAAUUGGUCCACUCUAUGUAAACUUGCACAAAGAAGAAUGGAUGGAGUUCCACUUCCACAACAAUCGACAUUAGAGUUUUUGAGUUUGUCAAGUUGUGGUGUUCAAAUAAAGAUUUUGUUUUGAUUUCCUUUUGUAAUCUAAUGAAUAAUUAUUACUGUAUUCUUCUCUA